AUGGCGUGGAGCGAUGCCGAGAACGAGAGGUUCGAGCGCGCGCUGGCCACGUACGGCCGCGACACGGCCGGCCUCUGGGAGCGCGUGGCGGCGGCGGUCGGCGGCGGCAAGACGGCCGACGACGUCAGGCGCCACUACGACCUGCUGACGCAGGACAUCGGCGACAUCGAGUCCGGCCGCUACGGUUACCCCAACGGCGGCGCCAACGGCAACACCAACCGCAACAACGGCAGGAACAGGACCAACCGGCCCCAGACAUGA
This 261-nucleotide ribosomal RNA is filed under the name Triticum aestivum (bread wheat). RNAcentral describes it as "partial small subunit ribosomal RNA". Lineage: Eukaryota; Viridiplantae; Streptophyta; Magnoliopsida; Poales; Poaceae. The record is from RNAcentral.